RNAcentral lists this ribosomal RNA (469 nucleotides) under uncultured bacterium. RNAcentral's name for it is "bacterial SSU rRNA". It matches the Rfam family "Bacterial small subunit ribosomal RNA", at positions 28 to 507 of the family's 1533-position model. The record is from RNAcentral.
GACGAACGCUGGCGGCGUGCUUAACACAUGCAAGUCGAACGGUCCUUGAAGUUUUCGGAUUUCAAGGAUAGUGGCGGACGGGUGAGUAACGCGUGGAUAACCUGCCCAUGGGAUUGGGAUAACGCCGGGAAACUGGUGCUAAUACCGGAUACGUUCCUUUGGCCGCAUGGCCGGAGGAAGAAAGGAGUAAUCCGCCCAUGGAUGGAUCCGCGUCCCAUUAGCUUGUUGGUGGGGUAAUGGCCUACCAAGGCGACGAUGGGUAGCCGGCCUGAGAGGGUGGCCGGCCACACUGGGACUGAGACACGGCCCAGACUCCUACGGGAGGCAGCAGUGGGGAAUCUUCCGCAAUGGGCGAAAGCCUGACGGAGCAACGCCGCGUGAGUGAUGAAGGCCUUUGGGUCGUAAAACUCUGUCUUCAGGGAAGAAAAAAUAGACGGUACCUGAGGAGGAAGCCCCGGCUAACUACGUG